AUGAUAAAAUUGUCUGAAUCCAAGAAGUUUCCAUGUUUCUUUUACCCUGAAAACAGUGAAGAUUCAUGUUGCUGUUUGAGGAGAAGCUUUACCUACCCUGAUGCAUACAUGUGGAACCCUCUACAUUUCCAUUCUGGAAAGGUCUUCCAUGGCGAAUAUCAUACUGAUGACAACGACAAAAUUACAUGUUUACCUCACACCAAGAUGUUGCUUCAGUGCACCUGCAGUAGUUUGACACGCCGUAUCAUGGUGUUUCCACUUGAGAGAGCACUGUACCUGCCCGUCUCCAAAUUAAAUUCAGUAAGAUGUUUGUUACGGUUGAAAAUUCAACUAAAACGUAGCACUCUUAAAUCCGGUGUUUUUAGAAAUAAUACGAAAAGCUCUUUGUGUAGAUGCAUUUCUUAUAAUACUUCAUGUAGCUAUAUGUAGGUGUACCUAUUACGUAUGCACUCAAAGAUCUGAAUGCAUCGGGUGUUGCAGUAUUUUAUUGGUGUUUAUGUGUGUUGGUGUUUGAGAAGCAUGCAUGUGUUUGUGUAUGGAUGCAAGUGCUUGUAUGGGUGGGGAUUUUGUAUCUCUGUCUAUAUAUAUAUUUGACAUACCCACCCACAUCCUUAUGAACAGAGUCGUUCACAUUCUCUGUGCAUGUGAUGUGGGUGUGUGUGUAAUGUAGAAGUGUGAAUAGUGUGGGAAGGGGAAGCUUAGAAUAUCGUGGUAAUAGAUGACACAGUUUCAUUUGAUCAGUGUGACCUUUUAGGAAAACAAUCCAAUCUUUUCCCUUUUUGUUUUGUUUAUUUUUGUGUGUUUGUGCAUGUGCCUCAGGUUAAGUGCUUCUUCUGCAUGACCAUAACCAAAGGGUGACCCAUCCACUCCCUUAUGUCCUAUGGGGACCUCAGAACCAAUUUCUCAGUCUUCAUCUCCUCCUCCUCCUCUUACCACUGCUGCUGACGCCCUGGGUGCUGCUCCCAGGUUUGAAACGUUGUUGACAGGCUGAAGAAAGGAUUUGCAAAGACCUCCUCACUGUGUAAGGAGAGUGAUGGCUGGAAUUAGUUUCAACGCCCCAAACAAUGGUAUUAAACAAUAAUAAGAUUGCUAGGCCAAAGCAUUACCAGGAACAAAUUAUGAGGAAAGAGACUAUUUGCAUUUGGUUGCAAUGAUGAACUAAAAUCAUUUAUGGAGAGCAGGUACCCUUUGUUUUGCAUGUUUUUGUCUUCACGAAUGUAGUCACGAAUCUGAUCAGAUCAGUGGUAGAUAUGGGAAAUAAAUGAAAAUAAAAGGGCCUAGUGGAUGAAAGAAUAAAGCCUCUGCUGUUCCUUGGUCUAGUUUGAGAGUUUCAUCUUUUCUUAUUAGCAAAACAAUAGGUGUUGUUUUUUUGUUGUUUUUUUUUCCCCCCCAAAACGUUUUAGACAGUAAGAAAAUGCAAAUCUGUGGCUUCCCAAAAGAUAGAUUCAGUGUUGCAAUUAUGUUGCCCCGCUCUGUGUCCAGUGCACUGUCCUCCAAUGCAAAUAGCUUUAAACUUUCUAUAGUGAAAGUCAAGGUUGCACCGUAAAUAAAACAAAAGCUUUUGCUCUAAACA
Long non-coding RNA from Meleagris gallopavo (turkey), 1573 nucleotides. NCBI's taxonomy places the organism in Eukaryota, Metazoa, Chordata, Aves, Galliformes, Phasianidae. The record is from Ensembl.